GGGACAACAGUUGGAAACGACUGCUAAUACCGCAUAAGCGCACAGCUUCGCAUGAAGCAGUGUGAAAAACUCCGGUGGUACAAGAUGGACCCGCGUCUGAUUAGCUGGUUGGUGAGGUAACGGCCCACCAAGGCGACGAUCAGUAGCCGGCCUGAGAGGGUGAACGGCCACAUUGGGACUGAGACACGGCCCAAACUCCUACGGGAGGCAGCAGUGGGGAAUAUUGCACAAUGGGGGAAACCCUGAUGCAGCAACGCCGCGUGAGUGAAGAAGUAUUUCGGUAUGUAAAGCUCUAUCAGCAGGAAAGAAAAUGACGGUACCUGACUAAGAAGCCCCGGCUAACUACGUGCCAGCAGCCGCGGUAAUACGUAGGGGGCAAGCGUUAUCCGGAUUUACUGGGUGUAAAGGGAGCGUAGACGGUUUUGCAAGUCUGAAGUGAAAGCCCGGGGCUUAACCCCGGGACUGCUUUGGAAACUGUAGAACUAGAGUGCAGGAGAGGUAAGUGGAAUUCCUAGUGUAGUGGUGAAAUGCGUAGAUAUUAGGAGGAACACCAGUGGCGAAGGCGGCUUACUGGACUGUAACUGACGUUGAGGCUCGAAAGCGUGGGGAGCAAACAGGAUUAGAUACCCUGGUAGUCCACGCCGUAAACGAUGAUUACUAGGUGUUGGUGGGUACGACCCAUCGGUGCCGCAG
This 693-nucleotide ribosomal RNA is filed under the name uncultured bacterium. Its description in RNAcentral is "bacterial SSU rRNA". It matches the Rfam family "Bacterial small subunit ribosomal RNA", at positions 140 to 851 of the family's 1533-position model. The record is from RNAcentral.